RNAcentral lists this ribosomal RNA (1341 nucleotides) under Palaeocimbex sp. CSCS-Hym-MC0161. Its description in RNAcentral is "16S ribosomal RNA". Lineage: Eukaryota; Metazoa; Arthropoda; Insecta; Hymenoptera; Cimbicidae. The record is from RNAcentral.
AAUUAAAAAUUAUUAUUUUAUUUUGAAAUUUAAUUUAAUUAUUUUAUUUAAAUAAAUUUAAUUUUAUUUAGUUUAAGUAUUUUUUAAAGAUAAAAUUUUUUUUAUUAUAGUUAAUUAGUAUUGAGAAAGAAUUUUGAAAAAUUUUGAAAAUUAAUUUUUAAAAAAGUAAUAUUAAAUUUAUGUACCUUGUGUAUCAGGGUUUAUUUAAAUUAAAAUAUUAAUAUGAUAUUUUUUUCGAAUUUAAAAGACCUAAAUGUUUAUAAUUUUUAAUGUUAUAUUAUUAUUUUAAAUAAUCAUUUAGUAAUGAAAUGUUAUUCGUUUUUAAAUUUAUCUAAUUUUUUAAUAAAUAAAUUUAAUUUAUAUAUUAAAUUUUUAAAUAAAAAUUUUAAAUUUUUAUUUGAAUUUAAUAUAAAUAUUUUAAGGGAUAAGCUUUAAAAUAAAUUAUUAUAAUUUUUAUGAUAUUUUAAAUAAUAUAAUUUAGACUUAGAAAUAGUUUUAAUUUAUAAAAAUGUUUUAAUUUAUUAUUUUUAAAAAUAAAAUUUUUUUAUUUAUUUAAUUUUAUAUUAAAAUUUUUUUUAGAAUUAUUUAAUUUUAUUAAAUAUGAUAAAAUUAGUAAAUUUUAUUUUUAAAAAUAAUAAAUAAAUUAAAAGGUUAUUUAAAGGAAUUCGGCAAAAAUUUAUAUUUGCAUGUUUAACAAAAACAUCGUUUUUUGAAAAUAAUUUAAAAUUUGAUCUGCUCAGUGAAUUAAUAAUUUAAAUAGCCGCAGUAUUUUGACUGUGCAAAGGUAGCAUAAUAAUUAGUCUUUUAAUUGAAGGCUGGCAUGAAUGAUUGGACAAAAUAUAAACUGUCUUUAUUUAAAUUUAUAUUGAAUUUAAUUUUUAAGUUAAAAAGCUUAAAUAUUUUUAAAGGACGAGAAGACCCUAUAGAGUUUUAUAUAAUUUUAAUUAUAAAAUUUUAAUUAAUAUUUUUUAUUUAAAAUAAUAUUUUAUUGGGGUGAUAGAAAAAUUUAAUAAACUUUUUUAUUUUUAUUUACAUAAAUUAAUGAGUUUUUGAUCCUAAAUGUUUAGAAUAAUAGUUUAAAUUACCUUAGGGAUAACAGCGUAAUUUUUUUUAGAGUUCUUAUCGAUUUAAAAGAUUGCGACCUCGAUGUUGGAUUAAAAUUUAUUUUAGGUGUAGGUGCUUAAUAAUUAGGUCUGUUCGACCUUUAAAAUUUUACAUGAUCUGAGUUCAAACCGGUGUAAGCCAGGUUGGAUUCUAUCCUUAAUUAAUUAAAAAUAUUUAGUACGAAAGGAAUAAUAUUUUAAUUUAAAAUUUAUUUAUUUUGAUUAAUAUUAAUUUUUA